CCGUGCAACCGGGGAGUUAGCGGUGCCCUGUAUCUGCAAUCCGCUAUAGCAGAGGUGAUGUCCUUCCGAGGGCGGUUCGGUGUAUGGCUGCCCCUUAUAAGUAAUGUUGACGUUCGGGUCUUAUGCAAUGAAAAUCUAUGAAUCGUGUCAGGUCAGGAAUGAAGCAGCACUAAGUAGACGCUUUCAUGUGCCAUGAGGGUGCCUGGGCCGAGUUGGCUGUAAGGGUAACGCAUGUGCGAAUCGUUCGACGCGGGACGCACGG
This 262-nucleotide signal recognition particle RNA is filed under the name Eubacteriales bacterium. Its description in RNAcentral is "signal recognition particle sRNA large type". It matches the Rfam family "Bacterial large signal recognition particle RNA". From Rfam's summary of the family: The signal recognition particle (SRP) is a universally conserved ribonucleoprotein involved in the co-translational targeting of proteins to membranes. Archaeal SRP consists of a 7S RNA and homologues of the eukaryotic SRP19 and SRP54 proteins. In most bacteria, the SRP consists of a 4.5S RNA and the Ffh protein (a homologue of the eukaryotic SRP54 protein). Lineage: Bacteria; Bacillati; Bacillota; Clostridia; Eubacteriales. The record is from RNAcentral.